GAAUGAGACUCAGUGUUUGUGCGUGUUUUGUAGGGUUGAUGAGGAUGAGGAAAUCAUUGUUAAAGCGAUGACCGAUUACUGGGUUGUUGGAAAGAAGUCUGAUCAGAGGGAGCUGUACGUCAUUUUGAACCAGAAGAAUGCCAACCUCAUUGAAGUGAAUGAGGAAGUGAAAAGGCUGUGUGCAACACAAUUCAAUAAUAUUUUUUUCUUGGACUGAAGAGAUAUGAUGGGCAUGGACUACUUCACUACACUAAAACUGUCAACUGUUCAGGUUUUACUGACAGCAUCAGUGUAAUGCAAUAAUUGCAUUGUAAAAAAA
Molecule: long non-coding RNA, 319 nt
Organism: Sinocyclocheilus anshuiensis
Lineage: Eukaryota; Metazoa; Chordata; Actinopteri; Cypriniformes; Cyprinidae
Exons: 2
Source: RefSeq, a predicted model, not a curated record